GCAUCAGUGGGGUAGUGGUAACCUGGGUCGUUGCCAUAAUCGGGUGUAAAGCAUAACUCGACCCGCCGGGGGUUCGAUUCCCCCCUGAUGCA
Molecule: non-coding RNA, 92 nt
Organism: Mycena metata
Lineage: Eukaryota; Fungi; Basidiomycota; Agaricomycetes; Agaricales; Mycenaceae
Source: the annotation of a GenBank genome assembly